Molecule: RNA transcript, 4427 nt
Organism: Apodemus sylvaticus (European woodmouse)
Lineage: Eukaryota; Metazoa; Chordata; Mammalia; Rodentia; Muridae
Gene: Msantd2
Gene name: Myb/SANT DNA binding domain containing 2
Exons: 3
Source: RefSeq, a predicted model, not a curated record
CCCAGGGCAGCCCCGGAGACCUUGGUGGCCGGAUGCGGGGGUGCGUCACUUCCGGGCGGUGGAGCGGCGGCGGCUUGGAAGAUGGCUGCGCCCUGUGGCUCGGAGCUGCCCGCCAACUCGCCGCUAAAAAUUCCGAAGAUGGAGGUGCUCUCCCCGGCUUCUCCUGGCGACCUGAGCGACGGGAACCCAUCGCUGUCCGACCCUUCCACGCCUCGGGGAGCCUCCCCUCUCGGGCCGGGCAGCGCGGCGGGCUCGGGGGCCGCGGCGUCCGGGGGUCUCGGGCUGGGGCUGGGGGGCCGCAGCGCUGCCUCGUCCUCGGUCUCCUUCUCGCCCGGCGGCGGCAGUGGCGGGGCUGCGGCGGCCGCUGCCGCCGCCUGCCGGGGCAUGUCGUGGACGCCGGCAGAGACGAACGCGCUCAUCGCUGUGUGGGGCAACGAGCGGCUGGUGGAGGCGCGGUACCAGCAGCUGGAGGGAGCCGGCACGGUAUUCGGCAGCAAGGCCCCUGGGCCGGCCAUGUACGAGCGCGUGUCCCGGGCCCUGGCCGAGCUAGGCUACGAGCGGACCCCGUCCCAGUGCCGGGAGCGCAUCAAGGGGAUAUCUAGUUGGAAUGCUUCAUUGUCCAGUUAUGAGAAGGAAAUCUAAAGCAAAGAAAGGAGAUUGAGCCUCUGAAGAAUUUAGAGGAUCAGUUUACCUGUUUUCAGACAGCUGGUUCGAUGCCCAGACCUGAAUGCUGUGCUCCAGCUGUGGCCUCACCGGUGCUGAAUAGAGAGGAAGAGCCACCUUCAUAGCUUACAUGUGAUUCCUCUGCUUAUACAACCCAAUACUGGAUUUACUUACUUUGGCAAGAUAGCUGCAUUGUGCACUGUAUUUAAUGUUCCGUGUACUGUAACCCUGGGUCUUUCUCUGCAUUGCUGCCGUCACCCUCAGUCCUGCCAAUCUAAACCUCCUGCCUCUGUUUACCUGCCCUUCUUCCUUAGACUCCCAUGCAUUCAUGCACAAUGAAUGUCAUCUUUUUAUUCUCUAAUUCCCUUUUCCUUUAAUCUCAAAUUCUGGCAAGACUUUCACUCUGUCCUAUAAAUUUUCAGCGGUCAGCCAACCCCACCCCCCCCCACCCCCGCCCCGCUCCCGCUUUGGUAAUGGGACGUCCCUCAAGCCUUCUCUCGGGUUCUUCUCCGUUUGUGGCCCUGAGACCUAAGCAUUUGGUGUGGUGGAUUGAAUAAGCGUUCACCUGGCGUUUCUGAAGCUCAGCGACUCUGGUUUGACCCCUUGAAGUUGUUCCCUUGCUUAGUUCUGUCUAGAUUUCCUUGAUUCUUGGUCUUGGUGGAUAGUAUAGUCUUACAGCCCCUCCUCCAGGGAGAUGAAAACCGUACUAUCAACAUCAACGAAGCAGAGAGAUUUCUCACAGUAAGGAAGUUAACUGUUGUCUUUUAAUAGACUAGCCUUUAGCAGUCUUAGAGUUGGUUCUCCAGUUGGAGGUGAAUUUGAUGCUGUACAUUUCUGAGAUGAGUGAGGUGAGUGAAGCACUGACUGAAGCCAGGGCUGUCCAUCAGGGUCAGGUGGACUGCGCCAGCCAGCCAGCCAGCCAGCCAGCCAGCCGGUGGAUCGUGGUGGAGUUGGUAGCUGAUUCAAGUGGGAGCUGCAGCCUCUUUGUUCCUGGGCUCUGGAGCAUCCUGAUCUGACUUAGAGAAGGGUUUUAGUUGCUUUGUUUAGGAUUGUUGAUACAGCCGCCCAGUCUUUUAAUGAUAUGCUUUGAUUAAGCAUUUAGAGGCUAAUGUAUUGUAUAAUCUUUACUGUGGGUGGUAAGAAUUCGAAGGUCUCCAGACAUCCUUUUUAUCUAUGUGUAAGCUCUCAAGUGGAUCCUAGUGGGUCAGCAGUUAAGCCGAUGUUGAUGUUUGAGUCCCCCCAUGCCCCAUCUUAGUGGAUAUGCCCUGUUUAAACAGACUGCCCUUGAAUUUGUGAUAUUUAUUAGACCUACAAGUACUGCUUACAUGCAUUUAUAUUUGGAAGGAGAGAAAGUUGGUUUGGAAAUCUUUUUAAUGCAAUUUCAGUAUAUCAAGUUAGACAUUACCAAACACCUGGUAGAUGUCAGCACAUUGUACUAAUUUUAAACAUGUGUUACAGGUGUAUACUACAAGUAAAAGGUGUUUAUAGCUGUCAGAGAUUGCUGGUUUCAGUAUUCACAGUUACAUAACCAAAAAAAUUGUAAGCUCAAUUUGGUGGCUUUGAAAAAAAUGUCUUUUCUCUGAUUUCUCCCCAUGUAUAUUAUAAAAACUUGGUGACUCUAUUUUUGAUGAGAACAAAUGGUUUUAAAUAUAGGAGGAAAAUGGUAGAGUUGCUGUGCCUUUGUCACUUCCUUGUAAGUAUGGCACCCUUCUUGGAAGGUAAUGUUAGUUUGGUCCCUCGGCUUCUAGAGUAGCCCUCAGUGACCAAACUGAGUGGACUUUGCUGUUGUAGGAGCCAGUGAGUGGUGAAGGGUAAUUGUUUCCAUCUCCAUUUAUGGUCUUAGGAGGGGAAAUGCACAGGGUUGGGACUCUCUAUUUACAGUCUUUGGAGGAGUCAAGAGAGGUUGGGAUGUUCUUGCAGGCAGAAACUAGAUAUUGUAAGAUAAAAAUAAAUUGUCAGAGGCUGUUUGCAAUUCAAAUUCCGAUCUCUGAGGAGGUGAAGGGUGCUGGGAAAGGGGAGUAUGUUCGAAGUUAAAUGAUAUUUGCAGCGCUUGUCUCUUUCCAUUGGGAGAUUUGACCAUGACACACAUUUUCCAAGUUUUUGAUACUAGAUUGUUUAAGAAAGUUUUGUCCUAUGGGGUCAAAAUUCUUUGUUACAAAAAGAAAGCCUAGAUGGAUUUUUAAAGAGUUUACAUGAGAAGCCUCAGUUUUCUGUAAGGAUCGUUUGAGGUGGUGGGAGUGAUUCUUUGAAAGGGAUAGUGGGUAGAUGCUCAUUCGGGGGUCCAAGCUGCCCUGGUGCUGUGUCUGAGGGAGAUCUCACUGCUCAUGCUUUUAUUAUUCUUUUUGCCUAUUUUGAUUUCUGGCCUCAGAGCAGAUUUUUAAAAAGUCUUUGAGGAAGUGUCUUGUAGAUUGUCAGCUGUGAUUUAAAGAUCCUGCACUUCAUGGAGAUCUGUACAGCUCCAGACUUGUUAUAGUUUGGUGAGAAUGGGUCAUAUAUUGGCUGAUGGAAGGUAAUCUUCUUUAGGAGAGUCUUACAAUCUUGACAAUGCUUUUACAUUAGGUUAGAGAUAAACUAGUUUUAGCAGUUAAGUUAGAAAGUAUUUAGGAGCCACUAGGGAAAGGGGCUUUUGCCUCAAGCAAAUUCUGACUAAAACCCCAUGACAGAGAAGAAGGAAAGCAAGGCAGGCAGAGACACACAGCGCACAGCCUGAAUGUGGCUGUGUGUUUGAGACUAAGUCCUUGGUGUACUUCUGAUGUGUCUGGAAGAUAGCAUGAGGUAUACUAUUAAUUUCAGGAACUGGGCCAGUCUGAAAUACAUAGUAGAAAUAAAGACAAUAAAAAAAGGAAAGAGUUGAACAAGACAGAAGGUUAUUCAGGUUUUGUUUAGGAGCUUGCACAGUGUAUUUACUUGCUGUGCCAAGUGACAGAGAACGACAUGAGAUGACUCCCUUCCUCACCCUCCCUGAGAAGGACUGUCAGCCUUGUUUGUUGGUUUGUUGGUUUGUUUAAUUGGCAGUGUGAAUUGGUAGAUUAGUAAAAUGUAGGUAUUAAUGUACUAUUUCUUGGUCAUUGUGUCUGAGACUAGGAACUUAUGAUUGAUUUGAUUGCUGCUUCAGUUACAGACAUUUUUAUGAUGACAAUGAGUUAGGAAGGAACAGACUGUACGUGAUCUAUUUUGUUAGCUACUUUGUCUAGACAGCUGUUUUCCCCUGUUCUUAACUAAGAGUAAGGAAGAUGUUUUCCUCUUGGGGAGAUUCUUCUUUCUGUCCUCUUUCCCUCACGUUUUUCCAAAAUCUGGGCACCAUAGCAGCUCUCUCUCCUGUGGCAGGUGUGCAUCCUAUUGGCUGGCUGGUAUUUCUUUUUUUCCUCCCCCUUAUCCUUUUUAAAUGCGGGAGGGGGUUUAAAAUAUGUGUAUUGGGUAUAUGCAAUAAUGUUGUAAUGUUUCUUGUUGUUUUAAUUGAUAAUUGCAAAAUAACUGUUUGAAUUAUAACAUGUUUGAGUAAAUGCUAAAUUAGUAUUUUUCUAGUAUAAUAAUGAAUUUGAAAUAGCAUUCCUGUAACAAUGUGUUUGUGUUUGUCUGUCUGUGUCUGUCUGAUAGUAAUUAAUAUCUGUGGUCCGUAUCUGGAGGCGGAAGUACAGCUUUAAAGGAAUAACAAAAGACUUUGUGUCUUAGACCCUUCGCAGGUGUUACAGUCGGGUGAAAGAACAUGGUGUUGGGAAAAGAAAGAGCAGUUACACAUUUGAACAGUUGGAACAGGUGUUUGG